This 343-nucleotide unclassified non-coding RNA is filed under the name soil metagenome. RNAcentral describes it as "partial contains 5.8S ribosomal RNA, internal transcribed spacer 2, and large subunit ribosomal RNA". The stretch from base 1 to 120 matches the Rfam family "5.8S ribosomal RNA", at positions 35 to 154 of the family's 154-position model. The record is from RNAcentral.
GAUGAAGAACGUAGCGAAAUGCGAUAAGUAAUGUGAAUUGCAGAAUUCAGUGAAUCAUCGAAUCUUUGAACGCACAUUGCGCCCGCCAGCAUUCUGGCGGGCAUGCCUGUUCGAGCGUCAUUUCAACCCUCGACCUCCCCUUGGGGAGGUCGGCGUUGGGGACCGGCAGCACACCGCCGGCCCUGAAAUGGAGUGGCGGCCCGUCUGCGGCGACCUCUGCGUAGUAAUACAGCUCGCACCGGAACCCCGACGCGGCCACGCCGUAAAACACCCAACUUCUGAACGUUGACCUCGAAUCAGGUAGGACUACCCGCUGAACUUAAGCAUAUCAAUAAGCGGAGGA